This 210-nucleotide ribosomal RNA is filed under the name uncultured bacterium. RNAcentral describes it as "partial 16S ribosomal RNA". It matches the Rfam family "Bacterial small subunit ribosomal RNA", at positions 1293 to 1500 of the family's 1533-position model. The record is from RNAcentral.
UCGGAUCGCAGUCUGCAACUCGACUGCGUGAAGGUGGAGUCGCUAGUAAUCGCGGAUCAGCAACGCCGCGGUGAAUGCGUUCCCGGGCCUUGUACACACCGCCCGUCAAGUCAUGAAAGUGGGCAGCACCCGAAGACGGUGGCCUAACCCUUGUGGGAGGAGCCGUCUAAGGUGAGGCUCGUGAUUGGGACUAAGUCGUAACAAGGUAAC